This 253-nucleotide ribosomal RNA is filed under the name uncultured bacterium. Its description in RNAcentral is "partial 16S ribosomal RNA". It matches the Rfam family "Bacterial small subunit ribosomal RNA", at positions 524 to 776 of the family's 1533-position model. The record is from RNAcentral.
UACGAAGGGGGCUAGCGUUGCUCGGAUUUACUGGGCGUAAAGAGCGCGCAGGCGGUCGUUCAAGUCGAGUGUGAAAGCCCCCGGCUCAACUGGGGAGGGUCACUCGAUACUGAUCGACUUGAAGGCAGGAGAGGGAAGCGGAAUUCCCGGUGUAGUGGUGAAAUGCGUAGAUAUCGGGAGGAACACCAGUGGCGAAGGCGGCUUCCUGGCCUGUUCUUGACGCUGAGGCGCGAAAGCUAGGGGAGCAAACGGG